UGAGAUGGACCCACUCGGGAAGAGAGAUCGCCGUGGGUGAUUCUGAAGGACAGAUUGUCAUAUAUGAUGUGGGCGAGAUCGCUGUUCCCCGAAAUGAUGAAUGGGCAAGAUUUGGCCGAACACUCGCAGAGAUUAACGCAAGCCGAGCUGAUGCAGAGGAGGAAGCGGCUACCCGGAUUCCUGCCUAGGCCUGGAGGGUGGCCGUAGCCUUAUCGAGUCUGGCAAAGAGGAUGAAGUAGAUCCUAAACUAUUUGCAUGCUUCUGAUUAAACGAGAAUUAAAAGAAAACUCCAUGGAUAGACUGGGUUUAAUACAGGAAGCAAAGCUUACCGAGCCCUUUUAUAUUCUAUUCCCUUUGCUUUGGAUUGGUGUCAUUUUUAAUACAGCUGACAACUUUACAGAAUGCAGCCUUUUCUGAAUUCUAACACAUGGGUGUAUAUUGUUAAUUAUUCUUUUGGAUUCUUUUGAACUUGUACUACUAUAUAUAAUUAUUUCUAAAGCACAGACUAAGUGAGUUCUGCAUAUUUCUAAAGAGCCACAGUCCCUUAUUAUGCAAUACAGUACAUGGGUCCUUGUCAGUUAUGUCCUCACUGCCCUGAGUGAGUAGGAACAUUGUUCUUAGUGCCAGCAUGCAUUCGCCUACCUGUUUUAAGUUUCAUGUUGAUGCCGUUUUCCUUCUCUAUAGUUCAUGGUAGUUAUCUAUAAAUAAAAACAAAUAUGUGCUAACUUU
This 729-nucleotide long non-coding RNA is filed under the name Rattus norvegicus (Norway rat). RNAcentral describes it as "long non-coding RNA NONRATT018244". Lineage: Eukaryota; Metazoa; Chordata; Mammalia; Rodentia; Muridae. The record is from RNAcentral.